RNAcentral lists this ribosomal RNA (401 nucleotides) under uncultured bacterium. RNAcentral's name for it is "bacterial SSU rRNA". It matches the Rfam family "Bacterial small subunit ribosomal RNA", at positions 32 to 424 of the family's 1533-position model. The record is from RNAcentral.
AAUCAACGCUGGCGGCGUGCCUCAGACAUGCAAGUCGAACGAUUAAAGCUCUCUUCGGAGAGUGUAUAGAGUGGCGCACGGGUGAGUAACACGUAAGUAAUCUACCUUUGAGUGGGGAAUAACCCGGGGAAACCCGAGCUAAUACCGCAUAAUGCAGCGGCACCGCAAGGUGACAGUUGUUAAAGGAGCAAUCCGCUUAAAGAGGAGCUUGCGGCAGACUAGCUAGUGGUAAGGUAAUGGCUUACCAAGGCUUCGAUCCGUAUCCGGCCUGAGAGGGCGGUCGGACACACUGACACUGAAUAACGGGUCAGACUCCUACGGGAGGCAGCAGUCGGGAAUUUUGGGCAAUGGGCGAAAGCCUGACCCAGCAACGCCGCGUGAAGGAUGAAGUAUUUCGGUAU